RNAcentral lists this ribosomal RNA (465 nucleotides) under uncultured bacterium. Its description in RNAcentral is "partial 16S ribosomal RNA". It matches the Rfam family "Bacterial small subunit ribosomal RNA", at positions 28 to 507 of the family's 1533-position model. The record is from RNAcentral.
GAUGAACGCUGGCGGCGUGCUUAACACAUGCAAGUCGAACGGAAAGGCUCCUGCUUGCUGGGGUACUCGAGGGGCGAACGGGGGAGGAACACGUGGGUGAUCUGCCCUGCACUUCGGGAGAAGCCUGGGAAACUGGGUCUAAGACAGGAUAGGACGCUGGUUAGGAUGCCAUGGAGGAGAGUUUUGCGGUGUGGGAUGAGCUCGCGGCCUAUCAGCUUGUUGGUGGGGUAAUGGCCUACCAAGGCGUCGACGGGUAGCCGGCCUGAGAGGGUGUACGGCCACAUUGGGCCUGAGAUACGGCCCCGACUCCUACGGUAGGCAGCAGUGGGGAAUAUUGCACAAUGGGCGCAAGCCUGAUGCAGCGACGCCGCGUGGGGGAUGACCGCCUUCUGGUUGUAAACUCCUUUCGCUAGGGACGCAGCCCAAGUGACGGUACCUGGAGAAGAAGCACCGGCUAACUGCGUG